ACGAACGCUGGCGGCAGGCCUAACACAUGCAAGUCGAACGCUCCCUUCGGGGGGAGUGGCGGACGGGUGAGUAACGCGUGGGAACCUGGCUCUUGGUACGGAACAACCGCGGGAAACUGCGGCUAAUACCGUAUACGCCCUGAGGGGGAAAGAUUUAUCGCCGAGGGAUGGGCCCGCGUCUGAUUAGCUUGUUGGUGAGGUAACGGCUCACCAAGGCAUCGAUCAGUAGCUGGUCUGAGAGGAUGAUCAGCCACACUGGGACUGAGGCACGGCCCAGACUCCUACGGGAGGCAGCAGUGGGGAAUAUUGGACAAUGGGGGCAACCCUGAUCCAGCCAUGCCGCGUGAGUGACGAAGGCCUUAGGGUUGUAAAGCUCUUUCAGUGGUGACGAUGAUGACGGUAACCACAGAAGAAGCCCCGGCUAACUCCGUGCCAGCAGCCGCGGUAAU
RNAcentral lists this ribosomal RNA (449 nucleotides) under uncultured bacterium. RNAcentral describes it as "bacterial SSU rRNA". It matches the Rfam family "Bacterial small subunit ribosomal RNA", at positions 29 to 524 of the family's 1533-position model. The record is from RNAcentral.